Molecule: non-coding RNA, 957 nt
Organism: Camellia sinensis
Lineage: Eukaryota; Viridiplantae; Streptophyta; Magnoliopsida; Ericales; Theaceae
Source: RefSeq, a predicted model, not a curated record
GUCUUAUGUCCCUAUCUCUCCAUCUCUCUCUCUCACAACUACUUCCUCUCAUUCCUCCUCCCUUACGGACGAUUUUGUUGCUCCUAUUCCACCGUUGUACAGCCUGAAAUCCAAAGUCGGCACCCUCUCUUAGCAGGUUUUUUUGUGUCGAUCUCGGUCUCUCUCUAUCGAUCUCAGCCGCCACAAAUCAUAGGUCUCUGUCGAUCUCUGUCCCUCUCUGUCGAUCUCGGCCACAAAUCACAGGUUUCUCUCUAUUGGUCUUUCUCUCCCUCUGUCGAUCUCGGCCACAAAUCACAGGGAGUGGCUGAUCGAGUCUGUCUUCUCUUGCCUACUAGUGAGGGUAGUUGGGUUACUGUUGCAAGGGCAUUGAGGUGUUUUACUCUGAUUAUUUUAUAGUUCGUACCUCUUGAUGACUUUUUCAUUCCUUGCACCUUAAUAUUAUACAUUUCUACGCCAUGCUACUUUUUUGGGUUUAAACUUCUUUCACAAAGUGUUCAAAUGACCGCUGAAAUUUGAAUUUCAUUCAAUGUAUGUGUUCUAUCCUCCCAAAACUACUUUGUUGUUAGCCUAACAACUUUGCCUUUGCAGUGGACCAUGUUAUUGUAUCUUGGGUUUGUCUUUUCUUGGAUUUCAGAGGUGCAUAAUCUUCUUAUUCAUACCCUCCAUAUUAGUUUACAUAGGUCAUUUGUCCUUUAAUUUCCUUUUUCCAGUUGUAAUUUAUGUGAUUAUGUGAUUUUGAAAUUCAUUUAAGCGUUGAUAGAAUUGUUUCUGUGUUAUUUUAAUGUUUUGUGGCUGAAUCUAUGUUGCCCCAGUUGCUCUCUAUAGGCUUGGUAGGUAAAGGAAAAUUUUGCUUGUUUAUGUGCUGAGGCAAUUUAUUGCCUUUUGUAAAUAUUUGUGUUGAUAAGAAGAGUUUAAAUUUGGCUCAGUUGAUUGAUGUUGGACAAUCUUCACUGUACU